RNAcentral lists this ribosomal RNA (504 nucleotides) under uncultured Actinomyces sp. RNAcentral's name for it is "bacterial SSU rRNA". It matches the Rfam family "Bacterial small subunit ribosomal RNA", at positions 8 to 507 of the family's 1533-position model. Lineage: Bacteria; Bacillati; Actinomycetota; Actinomycetes; Actinomycetales; Actinomycetaceae. The record is from RNAcentral.
AGAGUUUGAUCCUGGCUCAGGACGAACGCUGGCGGCGUGCUUAACACAUGCAAGUCGAACGCUGAAGCUCAGCUUUUGUUGGGUGGAUGAGUGGCGAACGGGUGAGUAACACGUGAGUAACCUGCCCCUUCUUUGGGAUAACGCCCGGAAACGGGUGCUAAUACUGGAUAUUCACUUGCCUUCGCAUGGGGGUUGGUGGAAAGGGUUUUUUCUGGUGGGGGAUGGGCUCGCGGCCUAUCAGCUUGUUGGUGGGGUGAUGGCCUACCAAGGCUUUGACGGGUAGCCGGCCUGAGAGGGUGACCGGUCACAUUGGGACUGAGAUACGGCCCAGACUCCUACGGGAGGCAGCAGUGGGGAAUAUUGCACAAUGGGCGAAAGCCUGAUGCAGCGACGCCGCGUGAGGGAUGGAGGCCUUCGGGUUGUAAACCUCUUUCGCUCAUGGUCAAGCCGCAGCUUUGGGUUGUGGUGAGGGUAGUGGGUAAAGAAGCGCCGGCUAACUACGUG